This 1052-nucleotide long non-coding RNA is filed under the name Mytilus galloprovincialis (Mediterranean mussel). The record is from RNAcentral. Lineage: Eukaryota; Metazoa; Mollusca; Bivalvia; Mytilida; Mytilidae.
GUUGCUUUUUACUCUUUUAUGGUGAAGAAUAUUACUUAUAUUUAUAGCAUCAAUACCCUUGUUUGUGAACUUCAAAUUGAAGAAUGAACGUUUUUUUCAAUUCCUCCGAAUGUUCAAAAACGGGUCUGAAUAAUCUAUGGUUAGCAAUAUCCAUUACCAUGGCAACUAUUUUAAUGUUUUAAAGGCUGUCAAUAAUGCUUUGUUGAUAUUUAAACUUGUGUGUGGUAUAUGUUAAUACCUGCUAUAUUGAAAGUUCGAUAUUCUACCUUUUUUCUAGAGACUUUCUUGUUAUUGCUUACAUUACUUAAGGAUGUACUCAGGUCGGGUGUAGGAAUUUGUGUCAGAUUUUUAUUUUUUCAUACGAUACAGGGUAAAAUAUAUUGCACCAUAACAUCCAUUUUUCUUUUAAUAUAAGACUUAAAUAGCUCAUAAAAGGUCAUUUAACAAAAUUUAAGCAUAUUAUAGAUUUCUUUUCUUUCGAUUUGAGGCCCAAAUGAUACCAAUGCAAGUAUAAGGUAAAAGUCUGAGUCAGCUUUUUCCUUCCAUUUCUAUAUACAUGUAAUUCGAAAAGGAGCCCCAAAACCAAUCAAUAUUUUUAGCUUAGUUUGUAUCUUAACUAAUGCUCUUCUGACUUAUAGUAUCAAUUUUAAAUUCCAUAUUUGUUUUUUGAUUUCACCAAAGUACAUCUUUAACCUAUUGAAGAUAUAUGUAUUUAAAUCCGUUGUAAAUACUAAUAUUAGUCCGUUUUAUUUACAAAAUACAAAUAUUAUGACAAGGUAUUUCAUAGUCAUUGCCUCUAUUGUUAAAGUAAUAUGAACUUCAAAUAAAAAAAAAUAUAAUGCAUAUGUUUUUUAUCACUAAAUGUCUAGUUUUUAUAGUAAAACUUAUGUACACUAACUUUUUUCUGAAGAAUAUUCUAUAAUUUGUCCAAAUUUAAACACUUUUUAAAAUUUCAAAAUGUAUGGCCGGACAUUUUUAUUGCAAAUGGUGCCCUCAAUUUGGUGCCUUUAGUGUUAUCAGUUGAACAAACAUCAGUGCAAGUCAUUAUAAGG